This 253-nucleotide ribosomal RNA is filed under the name uncultured bacterium. RNAcentral describes it as "partial 16S ribosomal RNA". It matches the Rfam family "Bacterial small subunit ribosomal RNA", at positions 524 to 776 of the family's 1533-position model. The record is from RNAcentral.
UACGUAGGGGGCUAGCGUUGUCCGGAUUUAUUGGGCGUAAAGAGCGUGUAGGCGGCCAGGUAGGUCUGCUGUGAAAACUCGAGGCUCAACCUCGAGACGUCGGCGGAAACCAUCUGGCUAGAGUCCGGAAGAGGAGAGUGGAAUUCCUGGUGUAGCGGUGAAAUGCGCAGAUAUCAGGAAGAACACCCGUGGCGAAGGCGGCUCUCUGGGCCUUACCUGACGCUGAGGAGCGAAAGCGUGGGGAGCGAACAGG